Molecule: long non-coding RNA, 2264 nt
Organism: Xenopus laevis (African clawed frog)
Lineage: Eukaryota; Metazoa; Chordata; Amphibia; Anura; Pipidae
Exons: 3
Source: RefSeq, a predicted model, not a curated record
UUCAUCUGUCCAAAGAAAGUUUUUCCAAAACUAAAUAUGAAUGACAGAGGUCUACUGAACACUUUGAUGCUCAAUAUACAUAGAUGCUCAAUAUACAUAGAUUUAUGUAUGUGGCAUACAGAGACCCCCCCCCCCCAAAUGAAAGCGCAUAUGAAUUUUCAUGGCUGCUGCACUAUAAGAACCCAGGAUAACCUUAGAAAAUGAUAUAUUUUAGAUAUUUUUAUAUCUAUAUAUUUUAUAUCAUACAAAUUCUGAUGAAUCCAAAAUGGGUAAAUAUGUCUUUCUAUUGGAAACUACAAAGUCAUUCUAAACGUAGUGGGUUUUAUGAAAUUUCACAAAGCUUGAAUUUUGCCCCAUUAUAUGCUCCAAAUUUUAUAACAUACCAGCAUAAAACCACUCUACAUACAUGACUGUGCUUCUGGAGAUACUUAUUAGCCUCUCAGUCUCAGUCUACAACCCCACCUCAGGUGCAAAGUUAUAGGCAAUUCAUUUGGAGUUAUUGAGAGAAAAGCUGUUGAAGCCAUGCUAGCUGCUGAAAAAUGUGUUUUAUUACCACAACAUGUUUUGGGCUCAGGGUCCUAUCAAGUGUAACAAAAGUCAGUGCAAACACAUACAUUUAUAUAUAGAAUGAAUAGACUGCCCACAAGCGGUGUUGUAAAUUGUCCAGUUUAGUUCAAUUUGUCCAUUAAUUCAUCUGUUCCUGUACCUAGUGAGGGAGUGAGAAAUAGUCCAGCAUGGGUGUGUACAUCAAUUAGAAACCAGGUACUGCCUCCAGAAUUGUUUUAUUUUUCAUGUUGCAUCAGCUAAUGAUUUGCUUGUAUGGUUUGUGCACUUUUAUAAAAAUGUACUUCUUAGGCCACCAUACCCUUACCAUGUGACCCUGUGUAAUACCAGGAAAUGAUCAGUCUGGCUGCCAUCUUUACACUGUUCACAGGCAGGGGGAAGAUAGUUUGGGGAGAUUGUCACCCCAAAGAAAAGGUGAUUUGUCGCUGGGAUGUCUAAUCUCCCCAAAUCUGCUUGUGUGGCAUGACCCUUAGGCCACCAUAUCCUUACCAUGUGACCCUGUCUAAUACCAGGAAAUGAUCACUCUAUCUGCCAUCUUUACACUGUUCACAGCUAGCACAUUACCAUAUGCAGUAAUCCUCCCCCCUAUCCAGCCUUGUGGUAGCAUCGUUGGUAGGUAUUACUUAUAUACCAAGCCUGAUCUCUAAAGGCAGAUCAUUAUUUAUUUGUUUUGUAUUUCUAUACAAGUUUUAUAGUGUUACAUAUGCAGUUACCUCACGGCACUGCUAUAUAGUAUGUGUUCCAGCCCAGGUAUCUAUGCCUUAUAUUAUAUACAGAUGCCUCUCACCCCUUUAGUUUAACAUAUGCUAUACAGUGUUUAUGUAUUUUCUAUAUUGUGAUGUAUUAAGCACUGUCAUUUUCUGUCUUCCCUAGUUUUACAACGUCCCCUUGUUAAUAAAACUGAAGCUUUCUAAUCUGCUCUCAGUGGAUUAAUGAAGGAAGGAGUUAAACUGCAUGUCAAGCUACACGCUACCCCAGAGUAACACGUAGUGAGGACAGAACACUGCCAUUUGCUGGCCUACCUUAAACCUUCACACCUGAAAAUAAAUAUCUUUUUUGCUUGAAAGAAAACAUCUUAUUUUUUCUUUUCUAAUUCUCAUAUGCAUUUAUAUUAAGCAAAAUAUAUGUACUUGCCCAACUUACAAGUAAGUAGUUUUUUAAAAAUUUUUGAUUCAUACAAGGGCAAAACAGGCACAGGAACCCCUGGUCCAUCCCAGCAAGUGCACCUCAUACCAACGCAUCGAGCAGUGAGAAAUGCUGAAGUUCAAGCGCACAGUCAGUGGUAUCUUUUUUUAGAGCAAACUGCAGACCCUCAAGGCAGAGGAAACAGGUAGCACAAAUAACGAGCACCAGAGAUCAGUACCCCAAGAGAACCAGGAACAAGACAAGAUGAUUAGUUUUGCCCUUGUAUGAAUCAAAGAAUAUUAGAAUACUACUUACUGGUGUGAAGGUUUAAGGUAGGCCAGCAAAUAGCAGUACCUGGUUUUUAAUUGAUGUACACACCCACACUGGACUAUUUCUCACUCCCUUACUGGGUACACACGAGUAUGAAGAGCUUCGACCUGUAGAUAACCCUUUUGCUGGGUAGGGUGCUCAAACAGUGAAAGGAUCACCUGCCUGUGAUCCAGAACAUAUGUAAGAAACCAGGUACACUGUGGCACACCAGACGUGGAGAUUUAGUGCAUCAACAUUUCUUUAUU